Molecule: ribosomal RNA, 173 nt
Filed under: Sperata aor (long-whiskered catfish)
Lineage: Eukaryota; Metazoa; Chordata; Actinopteri; Siluriformes; Bagridae
Description: partial 12S rRNA
Source: RNAcentral
CACCGCGGUUAUACGAAAGACCCCAGUUGAUAUACGCGGCGUAAAGGGUGGUUAUGGGAAAAAUAAUAAAUAAAGCUAAAGACCCUCUAAGCCGUCAUACGCACCCCGAGGAUACGAAACCCAACCACGAAAGUAGCUUUAAACAUUCACCUGACCCCACGAAAGCUAAGAAA